UGCCAGCCGCCGCGGUAAUACGAAGGGUGGUAGCGUUGUUCGGAAUCACUGGGCGUAAAGAGCAUGUAGGCUGGUAGAAAAGUUAGAAGUGAAAUCCUGUAGCUUAACCAUAGAACUGCUUCUAAAACUCUCUACCUAGAAUAUGGGAGAGGUAGAUGGAAUUUCUGGUGUAGGGGUAAAAUCCGUAGAGAUCAGAAGGAAUACCGAUUGCGAAGGCGAUCUACUGGAACAUUAUUGACGCUGAGACGCGAAAGCGUGGGGAGCAAACAGGAUUAGAUA
This 279-nucleotide ribosomal RNA is filed under the name uncultured bacterium. RNAcentral's name for it is "partial 16S ribosomal RNA". It matches the Rfam family "Bacterial small subunit ribosomal RNA", at positions 506 to 784 of the family's 1533-position model. The record is from RNAcentral.